This is a long non-coding RNA of Myotis brandtii (Brandt's bat), 478 nucleotides long. RefSeq lists it as uncharacterized. The transcript has 2 exons. NCBI's taxonomy places the organism in Eukaryota, Metazoa, Chordata, Mammalia, Chiroptera, Vespertilionidae. The record is from RefSeq and is a predicted model, not a curated record.
GAACCAGUGUGGCAGGGACAGAACCCUCAGGGUCACCUCCUCAGUGUCCUGAGGUGCAGUCUCUGGAGGGGUCACCUGCCAAGGAAAAGAAGGUGCUGUCCGCUGCAAAAACACAGGUGACAGUCGGAAGGGGGUCCAGGAGCUGAUGCAUGCCUCCGCCAGGCAGAUGGUGACGCAGAUCCUGGGCCCUUCCUAGAAUCCGUAACAGGCCAGGCACCAGGCAGAUGGUGACGCAGAUACCGGUCCCGCCCUGGAAUUCCUAACAGGUCAGCUACCAGGCAGAUGAGGACACCUGGAAACCGUGAGGACCCCCGCGGUGGGAACUCCCACAGCUCAUGCUCCCACGCCCUCACUGAACAGCUGUAUAAAAAAAGCGCCCCCCUCCCUGUUGGUGCGGAUCCACGUGCCCUGUCUUUGGGGCCCGUGGGCCGCCUGGGGACGCAGAAUAAAGCCUUUCCUUUCUUUCUUUUCUGAUUAA